This 73-nucleotide transfer RNA is filed under the name Stegodyphus mimosarum. It matches the Rfam family "tRNA". From Rfam's summary of the family: Transfer RNA (tRNA) molecules are approximately 80 nucleotides in length. Their secondary structure includes four short double-helical elements and three loops (D, anti-codon, and T loops). The record is from Rfam by way of RNAcentral. Lineage: Eukaryota; Metazoa; Arthropoda; Arachnida; Araneae; Eresidae.
GCCUUCGUGGUGCAGUGGUCAGCACACUCGGCGCCUAUUAGAGAGGUCCGUGGUUCGAGUCCCGCCGAGGGCA